CUCCGACUAUCCUGGUGGCAGUCUGCAUGGCAGGGCGGCUCCCGCAGUCUGAAAGGGAGGAGAGAGCCAGGGCGUCGGGAUCCUGCCACCUGUGCCUUGGCAAUGUGCUUUCUGGGGCAGGUGGGAAAAAAAUCUGCCUCAGCUUUGUGCAUGCUCCCAGCAUGUGCUCAAGUACCAGUACACUGCUAGGGAUGUCACAAGGGACCAGCCUUUAACCUGCAAUUCUGGAAAAAAGGCACCGCAAAGCACUGACCCAUCACAGGGUCCUCUCUGAAACUCCUUAAGGCAGGAAAGUCUGGACAGAAAUAGCUCUGCUAGUUUCACCAGCUCAGCCACUGCUGAGCUGCUUCCAGCAGCCCAUGGGCACGCAGAGAUUGCCUCCAGCACAGCAGGAGGGGAUGGGCUGGUCCCUGGACCUACACCACCUGUACAGGGUCAGACUGGUUGUAACUGAGCCUAGCAGAGAUAGGCACUUUGGGCCCCUGUGUUUGGUUAACAAUAUCUCCAUUUGACAAUUCAGCUCUUGCUAAGAGGAGACAGGUUUUGGGGUCACCGGCUGUCUCGCAUCUGGGAGCUCAAAAAUCUAAUCCAGACAUGCUGAUCAGUGCAAGAGCGGUCUUACUACCAGUGGACUUUAAAGUCUCAGACUCUAUCACAGGGGCUGUGAAUUACCAGGAAGCCCAAGGCUGUGCUGCAAAUCAAAGAAAUCAAAUAACGUCCAACAGAGGUGAGGGAGCAGGGGCAGAUGACGGGGGAGAGCACACCCACCUGGCUGUAGCUUUUUUCCGACUGUACCCUCUGGGGUGGUAUUUCAGGUGAGUUAACUAACUCAGCAACAAUGAAUUUCCACCUCAUUUCACGUUCAUUUGGGUGAAUGACCCACCUCAUUUCACUCUAGGGUGCCAACAGCUAUGCUGGCCAUACUCUGCUCCCUUGGUGUCUGGCAGAGAUCCCCUAAACGGAAUUUGGGUGCAGUCAAUGAGGCCAAAUGUCUGCUUUGGCCCUCUGCCUUAGAAUCAUAGAAUCAGCCAGGUUGGAAAAGACCUUCAAGAUCAUUAAGUCCAGCCAUCAACCUGACCUAACGAGUCCCAUCACUAUAUCACAUCCCUUAGUGCCAUGUCCACACCUCCAGGGACGGGGAUCCACCACUUCCCUGGGCAGCCCAUUCCAGUGCUUGACCAUCCUCUCCAUGAAGAAAUUGUCUUGUCUUGUAUCCUUUUCAGUUGGGCUGCCUCAAGAAAUCAGUGGACACACAGACGUGUCAAGAACCUGAUGCAUCUCCAUCACCCCUGAUGAUGGGGAAGAGACUGAGGUGGUGUAUUUGAAGAUGACAUGCUGGACUAUAGCACCACUGUGCCCUUGCCCUUACAUAAUUUUCUAGGAUAAAGAUAAAACCCCUCUGGCCAGCAAGAGGGUUUCUGGUAGAUGUUCAGUGGAAAGUUCAACUUGUCAGUUUUUCCUUUGGGUGAAAUGAAACUUCUUGAGAAUUUUCAGAAGCUGCUGCUGGGUCAGGAAGGAGACGACAGCAGGAAUCAGCAUCGACAGUUCUCAUGGUGCAUCUCAUGGGGCUUUCAAACCCCCUUGGUUUAAAAAAAAAAUACUGUAAAAAGCCAAUGCUUAUUCUUUUUUAGGAGCCCCAGCUGAUUCCAUGUUUGUCUGAUUUUGUAGUAGUCAUUCAAUAUCUCUGUCCCCAAUCUUUGCAUGGUUUAGCUGCUCAUUGUUGAUACUUUGGAAGGUUUAUGGGGAGAGCAGCAACGUAGCCUGUGGUACUGCAGUAGAUAAUAACCAUAUCUGAAAGUGGGGCUGGCACAGCACAUGAGGGAAGACAUUACUGGCUGAACUGAAGAGCAGAUCAAUUCACAGUUAGUAAACCACAGUUAUUCCCUGGGAACUCCAGUUGCUUCGUCCACUGAGGUGCAAGAAGUACCUCCUCUCCUUCGGGACCAUUUCCUAGAGGACAAAGUCAUCGGAACAGCAAAGUCUGCUAAGAGACUCAUUCACCAAGAAACAGGAAUGUGCAAGGAUAAAAGGAAUGAAGUCAUGCUUUCUCAUAUCCCAAAAUGGACAAAGAGAAGAAAAAGUUGCAUAUUACUUUUUCUGACAUCUGAAUUUAUUAUUGUUUUAAUUAUCAUAUUUUUUUCAACUUCUAACUUGUGCUUUUUUUUUUUUCCCCCCACAAACAGAAAAGCACUAAUGAACAAAGGUGAGGUGGGCUUUUGUUCUAUAUUCAGUUCUAGUCAUCUACAUUCCAUGUCAACAAUUUAAGCCAGAAAAAAUAAAAAGAUGAUUUUGAUGACAUGUAAACCAGAAGUCCAUCUUGCAAGAGCACAGUAGAGGGUGGAGUGUUUUUUUUUGGUGCCAGCAUAUAUGGACCAACAUAAAGGAGAUGAGUAGCAAGGAGCUAUAUAUGUUGAAAACAUCUUUCCAUUAAAAACAGAUGAGCAAAAAGUGAUUUUUUUUUUUGGUGUGGGCAGAAAUCAGAAGAGUGCCAACUGUCAGAGAAACAUGAGUUUCCAGUAAGAAUGUUAAGAAGAAAAAACACAUUUAUGGAUUUUUCUCAGAGUAAAAAUUGUGAGUGGUUAAAAAUAUAAAGCCCCU
This is a long non-coding RNA of Cygnus olor (mute swan), 2598 nucleotides long. RefSeq lists it as uncharacterized. The record is from RefSeq and is a predicted model, not a curated record. Lineage: Eukaryota; Metazoa; Chordata; Aves; Anseriformes; Anatidae. The transcript is spliced from 4 exons.